This 91-nucleotide non-coding RNA is filed under the name unclassified sequences. The record is from Rfam.
UUGCUGAAGGACAAACCUUCCGAAAGGUUGGGACGCGAAGCUUCCGAUCUAAGUCCGUUUUAAGCGGAUAAGAUAACGGGAGUUACUACGC